Non-coding RNA from Pelobates cultripes (western spadefoot toad), 298 nucleotides. The record is from the annotation of a GenBank genome assembly. Lineage: Eukaryota; Metazoa; Chordata; Amphibia; Anura; Pelobatidae.
UGUGUGUGUGUUUGUGUCUGUGUUUGUGUCUGACUGUGUGUGUGUGUGUGUGUGUUUGUGUCUGACUGUGUGUGUGUGUGUGUGUGUUUGUGACUGUGUGUGUGUGUGUUUGUGUCUGUGUAUGUGUCUGACUGUGUGUAUGUGUCUGACUGUGUGUGUGUGUGUGUUUGUGUCUGACUGUGUGUGUGUUUGUGUCUGACUGUGUGUGUGUGUUUGUGUCUGACUGUGUGUGUGUGUCUGACUGUGUGUUUGUGUGUGUCUGACUGUGUGUGUGUGUAUUUAGAAGGUGGGGCGGGGG